GCUUAGCCCUAAACUUAGAUAGUUAAUUUUAACAAAACUAUCCGCCAGAGAACUACUAGCAACAGCUUAAAACUCAAAGGACUUGGCGGUGCUUUACAUCCCUCUAGAGGAGCCUGUUCUAUAAUCGAUAAACCCCGAUAUACCUCACCAUCUCUUGCUAAUUCAGCCUAUAUACCGCCAUCUUCAGCAAACCCUAAAAAGGAAAAAAAGUAAGCACAAGUAUCUUAACACAAAAAAGUUAGGUCAAGGUGUAGCCCAUGAGAUGGGAAGCAAUGGGCUACAUUUUCUAAAACUAGAACACCCACGAAAAUCCUUAUGAAACUAAGUAUUAAAGGAGGAUUUAGUAGUAAAUUUGAGAAUAGAGAGCUCAAUU
This 373-nucleotide ribosomal RNA is filed under the name Prionailurus bengalensis (leopard cat). Its description in RNAcentral is "partial 12S ribosomal RNA". It matches the Rfam family "Bacterial small subunit ribosomal RNA", at positions 794 to 1363 of the family's 1533-position model. The record is from RNAcentral. Lineage: Eukaryota; Metazoa; Chordata; Mammalia; Carnivora; Felidae. RNAcentral also lists the same sequence under 2 other names.